UGCGCAGGCGGGCUUGUAAGUCAGUGGUGAAAUACUGCCGCUUAACGGUAGAACUGCCAUUGAUACUGCGAGUCUUGAAUAUGGUUGAGGUAGGCGGAAUGUGUUGUGUAGCGGUGAAAUGCAUAGAUAUGACACAGAACGCCGAUUGCGAAGGCAGCUGACUAAGCCAUUAUUGACGCUGAGGCACGAAAGCGUGGGGAGCGAACAGGAUUAGAUACCCUGGUAGUCC
RNAcentral lists this ribosomal RNA (229 nucleotides) under uncultured bacterium. RNAcentral's name for it is "partial 16S ribosomal RNA". It matches the Rfam family "Bacterial small subunit ribosomal RNA", at positions 568 to 796 of the family's 1533-position model. The record is from RNAcentral.